UGCUGACAGUUGUGGCUUGUUUUCC
RNAcentral lists this non-coding RNA (25 nucleotides) under Mus musculus (house mouse). Lineage: Eukaryota; Metazoa; Chordata; Mammalia; Rodentia; Muridae. The record is from RNAcentral.